RNAcentral lists this unclassified non-coding RNA (335 nucleotides) under soil metagenome. Its description in RNAcentral is "partial contains 5.8S ribosomal RNA, internal transcribed spacer 2, and large subunit ribosomal RNA". The stretch from base 3 to 120 matches the Rfam family "5.8S ribosomal RNA", at positions 37 to 154 of the family's 154-position model. The record is from RNAcentral.
GCUGAAGAACGUAGCGAAAUGCGAUAAGUAAUGUGAAUUGCAGAAUUCAGUGAAUCAUCGAAUCUUUGAACGCACAUUGCGCCCGCCAGUAUUCUGGCGGGCAUGCCUGUUCGAGCGUCAUUUCAACCAUCAAGCCCCCGGCUUGUGUUGGGGACCUGCGGCUGCCGCAGGCCCUGAAAACCAGUGGCGGGCUCGCUAGUCACUCCGAGCGUAGUAAUACAUCUCGCUCAGGGCGUGCUGCGGGUUCCGGCCGUUAAAAAGCCUUAUUUACCCAAGGUUGACCUCGGAUCAGGUAGGAAGACCCGCUGAACUUAAGCAUAUCAAUAAGCGGAGGA